CGCUCCAUAUAUGUCACACAUUCUGUUUUGAAGUGUAAUGUCUAUGGAAGCAGU
RNAcentral lists this microRNA precursor (54 nucleotides) under Ciona intestinalis (vase tunicate). RNAcentral's name for it is "Cin-Mir-1495_pre stem-loop". Lineage: Eukaryota; Metazoa; Chordata; Ascidiacea; Phlebobranchia; Cionidae. The record is from RNAcentral.